GAUGAACGCUGGCGGCGUGCUUAACACAUGCAAGUCGAACGGAAAGGCUCCUGCUUGCAGGGGUACUCGAGUGGCGAACGGGUGAGUAACACGUGGGUGAUCUGCCCUGCACUUCGGGAUAAGCCUGGGAAACUGGGUCUAAUACCGGAUAGGACGAUGGUUUGGAUGCCAUUGUGGAAAGUUUUUCGGUGUGGGAUGAGCUCGCGGCCUAUCAGCUUGUUGGUGGGGUAAUGGCCUACCAAGGCGUCGACGGGUAGCCGGCCUGAGAGGGUGUACGGCCACAUUGGGACUGAGAUAGGGCCCAGACUCCUACGGGAGGCAGCAGUGGGGAAUAUUGCACAAUGGGCGCAAGCCUGAUGCAGCGACGCCGCGUGGGGGAUGACGGCCUUCGGGUUGUAAACUCCUUUCGCUAGGGACGAAGCGCAAGUGACGGUACCUGGAGAAGAAGCACCGGCUAACUACGUG
This 465-nucleotide ribosomal RNA is filed under the name uncultured bacterium. RNAcentral's name for it is "partial 16S ribosomal RNA". It matches the Rfam family "Bacterial small subunit ribosomal RNA", at positions 28 to 507 of the family's 1533-position model. The record is from RNAcentral.